CCUACGGGUGGCUGCAGUGGGGAAUUUUGGACAAUGGGGGAAACCCUGAUCCAGCCAUGCCGCGUGCGGGAAGAAGGCCUUCGGAUUGUAAACCGCUUUCAGCCGGAAAGAAAUCGCACGGACUAAUACUCUGUGUGGAUGACGGUACCGGAAGAAGAAGCACCGGCUAACUACGUGCCAGCAGCCGCGGUAAUACGUAGGGUGCGAGCGGGCAUCGGAAUUACUGGGCGGGAAGCUUGCGCCAGCGGUGAAAUCCCCGGGCUUAACCUGGGAACUGCGUUUGGAACUGGGAGACUAGAGUGUGUCAGAGGGAGGCGGAAUUCCGCGUGUAGCAGUGAAAUGCGUAGAUAUGCGGAGGAACACCGAUGGCGAAGGCAGCCUCCUGGGAUAACACUGACGCUCAUGCACGAAAGCGUGGGGAGCAAACAGGAUUAGAUACCCUUGUAGUC
This 449-nucleotide ribosomal RNA is filed under the name uncultured bacterium. RNAcentral describes it as "partial 16S ribosomal RNA". It matches the Rfam family "Bacterial small subunit ribosomal RNA", at positions 338 to 795 of the family's 1533-position model. The record is from RNAcentral.